GACAGAGGGUGCAAACGUUGUUCGGAAUUACUGGGCGUAAAGCGCGUGUAGGCGGUUCGUAAAGUCGGAUGUGAAAGCCCUGGGCUUAACCCAGGAAGUGCAUUCGAAACUCACGAACUUGAGUCCCGGAGAGGAAGGCGGAAUUCUCGGUGUAGAGGUGAAAUUCGUAGAUAUCGAGAGGAACAUCUGUGGCGAAGGCGGCCUUCUGGACGGUGACUGACGCUGAGACGCGAAAGCGUGGGGAGCGAACAGG
This 253-nucleotide ribosomal RNA is filed under the name uncultured bacterium. RNAcentral's name for it is "partial 16S ribosomal RNA". It matches the Rfam family "Bacterial small subunit ribosomal RNA", at positions 524 to 776 of the family's 1533-position model. The record is from RNAcentral.